UUUUGAGUAGUCUACUUAAAGCUCCAUUGCUAAAUAUGGCUAGUUGCACGUGAGAUAACUGAACCAAAUUUUUGGCGUGCGAUAUUGCUUCACUGUAUCUGGCAGCACUCUAGUUUUUCUUGCCAAAUCUUGACAAACCUGCAGAGUGCGGUGUCAUCAGUCUUUUGAUGCAAGCUCAUAGGAAGGAAUCAUCCAGUGGUCACAAGGAAUGCAUGAGGUAUGGUCCGGUGCUGCCACAAACGGUGGAACUUGAUUCUGGAGAAUUGGAAAAGGUUCUAGAUCCUAUGCAUGAGGUGCACCGAAGAAAAGGCUGAAGCCAAAGAAGCAUAAAAGAUCUAACACAAAAUACUGCUAUUGCAAGGUGGAGGGUCACAAUCAGCAUAAAUACGCCAAGUGGAUAGAGGACAAUAAGCUGACAGAACCUUAUUAACUACAGCUCUCUUAACAUUUGUGAAGUAAUGAUCCAGGAUUAUACAAAAACGCUUAAUACAUAUGUGAAGGAAUACAUGAGUUCCUGUUGGCUGUAUCCAUUGCCAGCUGAAGCAAACGGCUGCGGACGAAUGGCUGUGUUGGUGCUACAGCUGCGGGCUACUCUGCUGCUAUCCUGGAGUACCUGACUGCUGAAGUUCUGGAGCUGGCUGGGAACGCGAGCAAGGAUCUGAAGGUGUUGCGUAUCACCCAUCACCAUCUUCAGCUGGCCAUCCAUGGAGAUGAAGAGCUGGAUACCCUCAUCAAGGGUACCAUUGCUAGUGGGGGUGUGAUCCCGCACAUCCACAUGCCCCUGAUCGAAGUUAUCCGUCCAGUUAUCUUGAAGUAGCACAGGACAUUUUUGCAACCGUGUGUGAGACUUCAUAUCUUUUAGCCUUUAGCUAUGCUUCCAGAUCGAAGUGAUCCCUCUGUGUACUGCUUCCUGGUACUGCUUGAGUUAUUUGGAACAUUGUAUUCGUGUAUUCGUGUUCAUUUGUUCACUUCGUGGUAGAUCCUGAAUGCAAAACCUUUUUUACAUGCUUUGAGUAAUUGUGGUGUUUUACUGAAUCUA
Lolium rigidum is the source of this 1039-nucleotide long non-coding RNA. RefSeq lists it as uncharacterized. NCBI's taxonomy places the organism in Eukaryota, Viridiplantae, Streptophyta, Magnoliopsida, Poales, Poaceae. The record is from RefSeq and is a predicted model, not a curated record. The transcript has 3 exons.